CCUACGGGCGGCAGCAGUGGGGAAUAUUGGACAAUGGGGGGAACCCUGAUCCAGCCAUGCCGCGUGUGUGAAGAAGGCCCUCGGGUUGUAAAGCACUUUCAGUGAGGAAGAACGCCUGGUGGUUAAUACCCAUCAGGAAAGACAUCACUCACAGAAGAAGCACCGGCUAACUCCGUGCCAGCAGCCGCGGUAAUACGGAGGGUGCGAGCGUUAAUCGGAAUUACUGGGCGUAAAGCGCGCGUAGGUGGCUUGAUAAGCCGGUUGUGAAAGCCCCGGGCUCAACCUGGGAACGGCAUCCGGAACUGUCAAGCUAGAGUGCAGGAGAGGAAGGCAGAAUUCCCGGUGUAGCGGUGAAAUGCGUAGAGAUCGGGAGGAAUACCAGUGGCGAAGGCGGCCUUCUGGACUGACACUGACACUGAGGUGCGAAAGCGUGGGUAGCAAACAGGAUUAGAUACCCCUGUAGUC
Molecule: ribosomal RNA, 465 nt
Filed under: Vreelandella stevensii
Lineage: Bacteria; Pseudomonadati; Pseudomonadota; Gammaproteobacteria; Oceanospirillales; Halomonadaceae
Description: partial 16S ribosomal RNA
Rfam family: Bacterial small subunit ribosomal RNA
Source: RNAcentral